This 497-nucleotide ribosomal RNA is filed under the name uncultured bacterium. RNAcentral's name for it is "partial 16S ribosomal RNA". It matches the Rfam family "Bacterial small subunit ribosomal RNA", at positions 28 to 507 of the family's 1533-position model. The record is from RNAcentral.
GAUGAACGCUGGCGGCGUGCCUAAUACAUGCAAGUAGAACGCUGAAGGAAGGAGCUUGCUCUUUCCGGAUGAGUUGCGAACGGGUGAGUAACGCGUAGGUAACCUGCCUGGUAGCGGGGGAUAACUAUUGGAAACGAUGGCUAAUACCGCAUAACAGUAGAUGUUGCAUGAUAUCUACUUAAAAGGUGCAAUUGCACCACUACCAGAUGGACCUGCGUUGUAUUAGCUAGUUGGUGAGGUAACGGCUCACCAAGGCGACGAUACAUAGCCGACCUGAGAGGGUGAUCGGCCACACUGGGACUGAGACACGGCCCAGACUCCUACGGGAGGCAGCAGUAGGGAAUCUUCGGAAAGGGACGGAAGUCUGACCGAGCAACGCCGUGGGAGUGAAGAAGGUUUUCGGAUCGUAAAGCUCUGUUGUAAGAGAAGAACGAGUGUGAGAGUGGAAAGUUCACACUGUGACGGUAUCUUACCAGAAAGGGACGGCUAACUACGUG